AUAUUCGGAACAUCUUCUUCAGAAGAUGCGGAAUAACGUGACAUAUUGUAUUCAGUUUUGAAUGUUUAUUUAACAUUCAAAUAUUUUUUGGUUAAAGUGAUAUUCCUUUUGAAAAUAAAGCAGUAUGCGAGCGCUUGACUAAAAAGAAAUUGUACAUUGAAAACUAGAUAAGUAAGUAAAAUAUAGAUUUUACCAAGCAAAACCGAGUGAAUAAAGAGUUUUAAAUAAGCUUGAAUUCAUAAGAAAUAAUCGCUAGUGUUCGAAAGAACACUCACAAGAUUAAGAGCAUGUGGUUUAAUUCGAAGCAACGCGAAGAACCUUACCAAAUCUUGACAUCCUUUGACAACUCUAGAGAUAGAGCCUUCCCCUUCGGGGGACAAAGUGACAGGUGGUGCAUGGUUGUCGUCAGCUCGUGUCGUGAGAUGUUGGGUUAAGUCCCGCAACGAGCGCAACCCUUAAGCUUAGUUGCCAUCAUUAAGUUGGGCACUCUAAGUUGACUGCCGGUGACAAACCGGAGGAAGGUGGGGAUGACGUCAAAUCAUCAUGCCCCUUAUGAUUUGGGCUACACACGUGCUACAAUGGACAAUACAAAGGGCAGCGAAACCGCGAGGUCAAGCAAAUCCCAUAAAGUUGUUCUCAGUUCGGAUUGUAGUCUGCAACUCGACUACAUGAAGCUGGAAUCGCUAGUAAUCGUAGAUCAGCAUGCUACGGUGAAUACGUUCCCGGGUCUUGUACACACCGCCCGUCACACCACGAGAGUUUGUAACACCCGAAGCCGGUGGAGUAACCUUUUAGGAGCUAGCCGUCGAAGGUGGGACAAAUGAUUGGGGUGAAGUCGUAACAAGGUAGCCGUAUCGGAAGGUGCGGCUG
Molecule: ribosomal RNA, 870 nt
Filed under: Staphylococcus aureus
Lineage: Bacteria; Bacillati; Bacillota; Bacilli; Caryophanales; Staphylococcaceae
Description: bacterial SSU rRNA
Rfam family: Bacterial small subunit ribosomal RNA (bases 231-870)
Source: RNAcentral